Molecule: ribosomal RNA, 466 nt
Filed under: uncultured bacterium
Lineage: Bacteria
Description: partial 16S ribosomal RNA
Rfam family: Bacterial small subunit ribosomal RNA
Source: RNAcentral
GAUGAACGCUGGCGGCGUGCUUAACACGUGCAAGUCGAACGGAAAGGCUCCUGCUUGCAGGGGUUCUCGAGUGGCGAACGGGUGAGUAACACGUGGGUGAUCUGCCCUGCACUUCGGGAUAAGCCUGGGAAACUGGGUCUAAUACCGGAGAGGACGAUGGUUUGGAUGCCAUUGUGGAAAGUUUUUUCGGUGUGGGAUGAGCUCGCGGCCUAUCAGCUUGUUGGUGGGGUAAUGGCCUACCAAGGCGUCGACGGGUAGCCGGCCUGGGAGGGUGUACGGCCACAAUAGGACUAAGGUACGGAGCAGACUGGUACGGGAGGCAGCAGUGGGGAGUAUUGCACAGUGGGCGCGAGCCUGAUGCGACGGCGCCGGGUGGGGGAUGACGGCCUUCGGGUUGUGAACACCUUUCGCUGGAGACGAAGCGCUAGUGACGGUACCUAGAGAAGAAGCACCGGCUAACUACGUG